ACGUGUUGCAGUUAAAAGCUCGUAGUCGGAUUUUGGCUGAGAACGGUCGGUCCGCCGUUAGGUGUGCACUGACUGGUCUCAGCUUCCUGGUGAGGAGGUGUGCUUCAUCGCCACUUAGUCACCGUGGUUACUUUGAAAAAAUUAGAGUGUUCAAAGCGGGCUUACGCUUGAAUAUAUUAGCAUGGAAUAACACCAUAGGACUCCUGUCCUAUUUCGUUGGUCUCGGGACGGGAGUAAUGAUUAAGAGGAACAGUUGGGGGCAUUCGUAUUUCAUUGUCAGAGGUGAAAUUCUUGGAUUUAUGAAAGACGAACUUCUGCGAAAGCAUUUGCCAAGGAUGUUUUCAUUGAUCAAGAACGAAAGUUGGGGGCUCGAAGAUGAUUAGAUACCAUCCUAGUCUCAACCAUAAACGAUGCCGACUAGGGAUUGGCGGAUGUUAAUUGAUGACUUCGCCAGCACCUUAUGAGAAAUCAAAGUUUUUGGGUUCCGGGGGGAGUAUGGUCGCAAGGCUGAAACUUAAAGGAAUUGACGGAAGGGCACCACCAGGCGUGGAGCCUGCGGCUUAAUUUGACUCAACACGGGGAAACUUACCAGGUCCAGACUAGUAGGAUUGACAGAUUGAAAGCUCUUUCUUGAUUCUAUGGGGGGGGGGCAUGGCGUUCUUAAUGGGGGGUGAUUGUCUGGUAAUUCCGU
RNAcentral lists this ribosomal RNA (691 nucleotides) under Ostreococcus sp. RCC426. RNAcentral describes it as "partial 18S ribosomal RNA". It matches the Rfam family "Eukaryotic small subunit ribosomal RNA", at positions 606 to 1328 of the family's 1831-position model. The record is from RNAcentral. Lineage: Eukaryota; Viridiplantae; Chlorophyta; Mamiellophyceae; Mamiellales; Bathycoccaceae.